CAGCUGCAAGCCAGAAUGACCUUCCCGUCGAGCCUUGUCACGCAGGCUUAUCACAAUUUAAAUAGGCAUUUGUGUUCACAGAAGUUUAGCAUGCCUGACUACACAAGGAAUUCUAUUCAGCCCAUAUGAUGUUCUACAGAACGCAUUACAUCUAAUAGCCACUAGAGAGGAUUGGUUCAAUUGGAGUAUUGAUGACUCAAACGAGCUGCGAACAUGCCGCCGGCCUGUAAACACCUCAUUUAGAAGCUUAGUCUUUGUCCUUCUGAGAGGAGCAGUUGUAUUCAGAAGCAGUUUGUUGACCUAGAUUGAGCUAAUGGUGUUUAGGACAUGCUAAUUAUUCAUAUUAUUCUAUAACUCUGGACUUCCAGGCUGAGCUGGGCUUGCUAGCAGAGGCAACUGCCCAACCUAAAUGGCUAUUCACCAGCAACAACAGCCUUUGGGACAAAUCAGCUGAGCUGCAUUUAUACUGCCAUACCCUACAACAUUUCACAGAUAGAAACAGGGAUACAUGUUUGCUAGAACAAGAUAUGUCUUAAAAAAGAGGAAAUUGAGGAAGUGACUGAAUAUGUAUAUCUUGGACAACAAGUACAGUUGAAUAAAUUGGCAAAUGGCAAAUAGGCAAGAGGACGCAAGGUGGUUUGGAUAGCUUUUAAUCGAAACUGGACAGUGCUAACAGAUGAUAAGUUGCCAAUGAAGGUCAGAGCAGAUAUCUUCAACACUACAGUUCUACCGGCAAUGUUAUAUGCAUCUUAAACAUGGGCAACAACAAAGUUAGAGGAAGAAAAACUGGCGGCAACUCAGAGAGCAAUGGAAAGAAGGAUGUGUGGCGUGACAACAAGAGAUAAAGUCAGCAACAAAGAGCUGCAUCAAAAAACUGGGAUAUGCGACAUGGUCAAUGAGCUCUAUGAGGCAAAAAGAAGAUGGGCAGGGCAUAUAGCACAAACACAAGAUAACUGAUGGAUAUGAUGACCAGCCAACUGGAUACCAAGAGACCACAAGCAGCCUUCGAGCAGACUUUGUACUCAAUGGGAUGAACCAAUGGUUAAGCUAUUCGGCCAGAAAUGGAAAUGAAAACCACAGGAUCAUAUAUUUUGGCAAAUGGUAGAUUUGUGUGAAGCCCGAAGGAGUGGAUUGAAGAUAAUAAAAAAUACCCUAAAAAGAUUAAAAAA
This is a long non-coding RNA of Anolis carolinensis (green anole), 1169 nucleotides long. RefSeq lists it as uncharacterized. The transcript is spliced from 2 exons. Lineage: Eukaryota; Metazoa; Chordata; Lepidosauria; Squamata; Anolidae. The record is from RefSeq and is a predicted model, not a curated record.